This 1133-nucleotide long non-coding RNA is filed under the name Canis lupus familiaris (dog). Its description in RNAcentral is "lncRNA (ENSCAFG00040016462.1)". Lineage: Eukaryota; Metazoa; Chordata; Mammalia; Carnivora; Canidae. The record is from RNAcentral.
AUGGAAAAUGACUUGAUCUUACACCCGAUCGUUUGGAACAUUCCAAAGCCAAGAGAGGCCUUUCUUGUCACACGUGAUUUCAUGAUAAUUAGGGCCAGCUGUGCCUGGGCAAUUCAGGUCAAACCAGAUGCCAAACCCAACUCAAACACUUGCAGGAAGAUCUUGAUCGUCAAGAGCCUUCAAACAUCCUGUAGAAAAUCAAAAGAAGGAUUCUUGUGCAAGCCCGUCUCCAUCUCACUGGCUCCAUACAAUGGACACAUCCCCAGAUGAUCUCACCUGUUUCACGGCUUCUCAAUCCUACUUUCCUCCUUGGCCUCAGUCGCUGUUUCCUCUGGAAUCCUCAAGGAAGCACUUCAGUGUCUAGGACUCUGAGAGAUCACGCAAGGAUUAUGUUCAAGACGUGUUCCCUCCUGAUAGUUUGAGAAACAAAGACACACGUCUUCUCCUCUUGAUUAUAACUGAACUGUGGCCAGGCAGGGCGCCUUUUGGAAAAACAUACUGGAUAUGAGAAAUGUGUCCCAAACUCCCUAGGGGUCUUAAGCUCAUGUGCCUCAGGCUCCUUCUCAGUAAAAAAAAAAAAAAAAACAAACAAACAAACAAAAAAAAAACAACUGUAAGCCUCAAUUUGUUGAUCUUUAAAGCCCCCUCUUUCUCUAACCCUUGAGGAUUCUGACAGUUGGUAGUUAAAUCGUCUGGAGGAAUUCCUACUGACUUAAACCAGUGGAUGCUCUUUUAGGAAGGUCAUCCUAUUAAUAUGGAAACCCUGUUGAACUCUGCAAAUUCUGGUCCCACCUUUGUGGGACCCAGGAGGAUAUUACUCCACCUAUAAGAAUAGCAUGAGGGCACUGCAACCUUGUUAGGUUUUUUUUUUAAUUAAAAAAAUAUUUUGGGGGGGCAGACUGGGUGGCUCAGCGGUUUAGCUCCUGCCUUCAGCCCAGGGUGUGAUCCUGGAGACCCAGGAUCGAGUCCCACAUCGGGCUCCCUGCAUGGAGUCUGCUUCUCCCUCUGCCUGUGUCUCUGCCUCUCUAUCUGUGUCUCUCAUGAAUAAAUAAAUUUAAAAAAAAAUUUUUUUUAAAGAUUUAUUUGUUUUAGAGAGAGAGUGGAGGGGGUGAGAAAGAGGGAGAGAGAAACCA